Molecule: small nucleolar RNA, 133 nt
Filed under: Echinops telfairi (small Madagascar hedgehog)
Lineage: Eukaryota; Metazoa; Chordata; Mammalia; Afrosoricida; Tenrecidae
Source: RNAcentral
GUUGAAAUCUAUCCUAAUGGGGCUUUCUCUAUAGACCCACAUUGUUGAAACGUCUCAUAGAGUAACUCUGUGGUUUGCUUUACUCGCAGAACUGCCAUUGGUUGGAUCUGUGAGGAAGAACUACAAGACAACU